RNAcentral lists this unclassified non-coding RNA (359 nucleotides) under Hevea brasiliensis (rubber tree). Lineage: Eukaryota; Viridiplantae; Streptophyta; Magnoliopsida; Malpighiales; Euphorbiaceae. The record is from RNAcentral.
GGAGGAUGAUAUAGAUUGGGAAGAAGGUUGAGUGUCAAAUGAAUUAACCUGUCGUGUGCAGUGCUUGGGAACAAUAUUUAUAAAUUCAAUACGAAAGGUAACCAGUAUUAACAUUUUCUCUAAAUAUGUUUUCCUUUUGUAGACAUUCAUUUUUACAAGUUUUAAGACAACGUCCAUGAGUAGCAGUGACUAAUGUUUGUAAUGUCUUGUGUGUUGAGAUCACCUCUGCCAUGUAUAGACAACUCGAUACAUAACUUGGUUUUCAAAUAUUUGUUCUAUACCCGUUGUCAUGUUGAUGGGUCUUUUUCAUUUAUUGGAUUUCAAUUGAAAUUUUAAUUAGAGUUUGAAUUUGUAAUCUC